Molecule: ribosomal RNA, 868 nt
Filed under: uncultured bacterium
Lineage: Bacteria
Description: bacterial SSU rRNA
Rfam family: Bacterial small subunit ribosomal RNA
Source: RNAcentral
GUGCUACCAUGCAGUCGAACGGCAGCACAGGAGAGCUUGCUCUCUGGGUGGCGAGUGGCGGACGGGUGAGGAAUGCAUCGGAAUCUACUCUUUCGUGGGGGAUAACGUAGGGAAACUUACGCUAAUACCGCAUACGACCUACGGGUGAAAGCCGGGGACCUUCGGGCCUGGCGCGAAUGAAUGAGCCGAUGCCCGAUUAGCUAGUUGGCGGGGUAAGAGCCCACCAAGGCGACGAUCGGUAGCUGGUCUGAGAGGAUGAUCAGCCACACUGGAACUGAGACACGGUCCAGACUCCUACGGGAGGCAGCAGUGGGGAAUAUUGGACAAUGGGCGCAAGCCUGAUCCAGCCAUACCGCGUGGGUGAAGAAGGCCUUCGGGUUGUAAAGCCCUUUUGUUGGGAAAGAAAAGCAAUCGGUUAAUACCCGGUUGUUCUGACGGUACCCAAAGAAUAAGCACCGGCUAACUUCGUGCCAGCAGCCGCGGUAAUACGAAGGGUGCAAGCGUUACUCGGAAUUACUGGGCGUAAAGCGUGCGUAGGUGGUUGUUUAAGUCUGUCGUGAAAGCCCUGGGCUCAACCUGGGAAUUGCGAUGGAAACUGGGCGACUAGAGUGUGGCAGAGGGUAGUGGGAUUCCUGGUGUAGCAGUGAAAUGCGUAAGAUCAGGAGGAACAUCCGUGGCGAAGGCGACUGCCUGGGCCAACACUGACACUGAGGCACGAAAGCGUGGGGAGCAAACAGGAUUAAUACCCUGGUAUCCACGCCCUAAACGAUGCGAACUGGAUGUUGGGUGCAAUUUGGCACGCAUAUCAACUAACGCGUUAAUUCCCGCCUGGGGAUACGGUCCAAACUGAAACUCAAAGGAAUUGACG